Molecule: non-coding RNA, 100 nt
Filed under: Paenibacillus bovis
Lineage: Bacteria; Bacillati; Bacillota; Bacilli; Caryophanales; Paenibacillaceae
Description: Guanine sequence
Rfam family: Purine riboswitch aptamer
About the family: Riboswitches are metabolite binding domains within certain messenger RNAs that serve as precision sensors for their corresponding targets. Allosteric rearrangement of mRNA structure is mediated by ligand binding, and this results in modulation of gene expression.
Source: Rfam by way of RNAcentral
UAUUCGACAUAUUAACAUAUUCGUAUAAUCCUGCGGAUUGGCGCAGGAGUCUCUACGUGAUCACCGGAAUGAUCUCUCUACGGAAAUUAGUACCUGUCAG